This 338-nucleotide unclassified non-coding RNA is filed under the name Hevea brasiliensis (rubber tree). The record is from RNAcentral. Lineage: Eukaryota; Viridiplantae; Streptophyta; Magnoliopsida; Malpighiales; Euphorbiaceae.
AUUAUACAUGCUUGCUAGUCAUGUAAGUCUCGUUUGGGUUGGUAGCCUUUUCUCAUCAAUGGAAUCUAUUGUUAUCACUGAAGUCAUUUUUUCUAUGCUGUCUCUAACAUUCAUGUAUUUGUGUUUUUCAUUGAAACUAUGCUAUAACAUUGAAUGACCUCUUUAGCUCUUAAACAGUUAAACAGUGUUAUGCUGGAUAAUUCAAUCUGUAAUUGAUGUGUUAUUUAUGCUAUGGGUAUAUCUGAUUUUCUUGUAGGUUUAUUUAUUUUAUUUUUGUAAAUUAAGAGGUUGAUUGUUUUAUAGUUGUUCAUCAUUUAUUUAUUUAGUUCAAUAGGGAG